GGGCAACCGGGUGCCACAGGGCAACCAGGCCCCAAGGUAUGGGAUGGGUGGGCAGUCAAGGCCCCCCAUGCCUCAGGCUCAGCCAGUCCCUCCCAGUUCUUCCCAGUUGAGUUUGUUCUGGGGCCUGAGUCUCAUUCACUCUGUCCUAGGGCGAUGUGGGCCAGGACGGGGCCCCCGGGAUCCCUGGAGAAAAGGGCCUCCCUGGUCUGCAAGGCCCUCCAGGAUUCCCUGGGCCAAAGGGCCCCCCUGGUCACCAAGGUAAAGAUGGGCGACCAGGGCACCCUGGACAGAGAGGAG
This 297-nucleotide long non-coding RNA is filed under the name Piliocolobus tephrosceles (Ugandan red Colobus). Its description in RNAcentral is "lncRNA (ENSPTEG00000022493.1)". The record is from RNAcentral. Lineage: Eukaryota; Metazoa; Chordata; Mammalia; Primates; Cercopithecidae.